GGAAUCGAACCUCCGCGUUGCAACUGUUCCCACUGAUGACUCCCCCCUCCCCAGCGACGUGCGCUCUGUAGCCCGUUCGAGCUAACUCCGGACACGUCCUAACCUAACAACGGGGGCUAACAGCUGGCGAUCGUUCCUAACGGGGAAUCGGAGACUCUCUCGCGUGGUGCUGCUAGAAGACCCUUCGGACUCGCAGUGUUCUACAAUAAUAUCGUUCUCAAUGAUGCUUUGAGUAAUUUUCGGCCCUACCGAGAGCGCAUCAUGCAAAAAUUGAUCGAUGCGCGCGACACUUGGCGAUGAGAAAGAAGCUACACCGUGGGACAAUGUUCUUUUUUUGUUCUUUCUACUAGAUACUAAACCCAAACCAUAUCUGCAUAACAAGCACUCAAGCACGGGCACACGUUGACUACACAGAGGAAAGCGAAUCAGACUCUUGCAUCAGGACAGAUAACAGCGACCACAGAUAAUGCGAGAUUAAGCUGCCUUGCAUUAAUAACAUGUAUAGGAAAAGAACUACCCAGACAGCCAAUCUACAAAAAGCAGAGUACCUGCUACAGACUCUGUCAGCAGCUUGCUAGCAGAAAUACAAUCGAUUUUGAUAGCAGGAUAUAAUAUACAUGAUGGACUGACGGAGCAGAAUGUGUCGUUGCAAUGCAUUUAAAUGGAACGUACAACUCCCGCUCACUUUUUGCUGGCAGAGUCUGCUGAGCAGGCUGUGCAGAUUACAAUAGCCGAAUGCGGACAGAAUGGAUGCCAAUUUGCCAGCAAGUUUUAUGGAAGUCUGUUGCUAACGUGCCGGCGUACUGCUCACAUCUUGCUUACUGGGAUGCGUACAACAAUAUUAAAAUAUUUAACAGCCUUGCAGUUAAACGGCAGCUAAGACGCGACAAAUUAAUUUUAUCACCUUGAUUUCUCUUCACAUACCACAUCCUUGCAAUUGCAUUACUGAAAAAGUGCAUUUGCAAGAGCAAACCAUAUGAUCAGCUGUUGGUUUACUGAUAGGUUAGGUAGUUAUGCUGCAAUCAUUGGUCUUUUUUUAUAAUCGCGCACCUUGUGUCGUGCAAAAUGGAAAAACUGCAACGUACAAGAUAAUAAAAUAUAUGCAAACAUGCGUGUAUUUAAACAAGCCGACCAUUGGAGACGAUAUUUCCAACACGGGUUAUUUUUUCAAUAAUCUAUGAAGAAACGUGAAAUCUUUAUAAGGUAUCAAGUGCCUGAUAUAUCAAGUAAGUAAAUUAAUGUAAUCUUCGUUUUCAAUUUGCAUUUUGCUGAAACGUACUCGCGACAUCGAACGCUGCUCGUUAACCGAGAUCCGCGCUGGAGCGCUGGUGUCCAAUGGUUUCUCGAUUCGAACACAUGUAGAGGGCAAGGUCUGCACGUGAAUAAAAUAUCGCAGUCAGUAUCAAUCGUACGUGAUACUUUGGAGAUAAUACUAAUAGCGUGACAGAACCAGGCAGAACAAGACAAAACGAACACAGGCACGGGUGAAUCGCGAGCGAGAAGAAGAGGGAGCGCUAGUCAGCGGCCUACUGCUACGCGAGAACGAGCAGGGUGCAACCAAAAUGAAAGUACACCGAUCGCAGUUAGU
Molecule: long non-coding RNA, 1588 nt
Organism: Ooceraea biroi (clonal raider ant)
Lineage: Eukaryota; Metazoa; Arthropoda; Insecta; Hymenoptera; Formicidae
Source: RefSeq, a predicted model, not a curated record